UCACCAGCACGGUCUGCGUUAAUCUUCUUGGUCUUCAGCCUUUCUACCAUGAGAAGAAGAUAAGCCACAUUGCUGCUGGCCCCAGAAAGAUGAGGCCUUAUGGUGCAGUUCUGACCCUGCACCAAAUUAGAGCCUGGACCUUAACCUCACAGGCCCAGCCCAGGAAAGACUCGCUGAGAGCAGCUCAGUCACUGUCACAUGGAAGUGGAAGGAUAUUUGUGCCUAUCAUGUGACACAGCAGAAAAUCUUCCAGACAAAAGAUUAGAACGCUUAAUUAAAUAAAACGCAAAGAGCACAAAGAAAGUGUAUGAAAGCGAUUUGGAAGUCAUCUAUCAAAAGGACACAGCUCAAGAUAUCCCAGGGAUGGUGUUUAGAUGGUAUUCCAUAUUAAAUCAUAUUUUUAUCU
This 406-nucleotide long non-coding RNA is filed under the name Homo sapiens (human). RNAcentral's name for it is "HSALNT0144630". Lineage: Eukaryota; Metazoa; Chordata; Mammalia; Primates; Hominidae. The record is from RNAcentral.